Galeopterus variegatus (Sunda flying lemur) is the source of this 251-nucleotide long non-coding RNA. RefSeq lists it as uncharacterized. The record is from RefSeq and is a predicted model, not a curated record. The transcript is spliced from 3 exons. NCBI's taxonomy places the organism in Eukaryota, Metazoa, Chordata, Mammalia, Dermoptera, Cynocephalidae.
CAGUGGUGGACUCACCUGUGGUGAAAAGGUGCUUGGUGGGCUGGUCUGGGGGGCUCUUCAUGCCCCCAGGGGCAGCAGGGACAGGAGACACUCCAGCCUUGCCAUCUCCUCUGAGAUGGGGAGGGAUGGGGGGAUGUGAUGAGUCACACCAAAAGAGUAGCAUUGAGGUCUUCCUGUGUGCUCUCGCUCUCCGUGGAGCCUUCCCGGGGCAUGGUCAGGGCUCCUUCCCCCAACAAGGCCUCCUGCUGCUC